UACGGAGGGUGCGAGCGUUAUCCGGAAUUACUGGGUUUAAAGGGUGCGUAGGCGGCUUUGUAAGUCAGGAGUGAAAGUUUGCGGCUCGACCGUAAAAUUGCUUUUGAUACUGCGAGGCUAGAAUUAGGAUGAGGUCAGCGGAAUGUGGCAUGUAGCGGUGAAAUGCAUAGAUAUGCCAUAGAACACCAAUUGCGAAGGCAGCUGGCUAGACCUGGAUUGACGCUGAGGCACGAAAGCGUGGGGAGCGAACAGG
Molecule: ribosomal RNA, 253 nt
Filed under: uncultured bacterium
Lineage: Bacteria
Description: partial 16S ribosomal RNA
Rfam family: Bacterial small subunit ribosomal RNA
Source: RNAcentral